AUACGUAGGGGGCGAGCGUUGUCCGGAAUGAUUGGGCGUAAAGGGCGCGUAGGCGGCGCGGUAAGUCUGGAGUGAAAGUCCUGCUUUCAAGGUGGGAAUUGCUUUGGAUACUGCCGCGCUUGAGUGCAGGAGAGGUUAUCGGAAUUCCCGGUGUAGCGGUGAAAUGCGUAGAGAUCGGGAGGAACACCAGUGGCGAAGGCGAGUAACUGGACUGCAACUGACGCUGAGGCGCGAAAGUGUGGGGAGCAAACAGGAUUAGAUUCCCUGGUAGUCCACACUGUAAACGAUGGAUCCUAGGUGUGCGGGGACUGACCCCCUGCGUGCCGGCGUUAACACAAUAAGCAUUCCGCCUGGGGAGUACGGCCGCAAGGUUGAAACUCAAAGGAAUUGACGGGG
This 396-nucleotide ribosomal RNA is filed under the name uncultured bacterium. RNAcentral's name for it is "partial 16S ribosomal RNA". It matches the Rfam family "Bacterial small subunit ribosomal RNA", at positions 523 to 918 of the family's 1533-position model. The record is from RNAcentral.